ACUUUACAAUUUUCUUCUGUUUCAUAAAUUUAUAGUUUAACUUGAGUGAGAAGAGCUUUUGUUGGGUUGGGGCGACUAUUAUAUAAUAUUUUAUAACUGUAAUUUAAAAUAAUAAAUUUGUUUAGUUAAUUGAUCCUUUAAUAAAGAUUAAAAGAUUAAGUU
Molecule: ribosomal RNA, 162 nt
Filed under: Eualus kikuchii
Lineage: Eukaryota; Metazoa; Arthropoda; Malacostraca; Decapoda; Hippolytidae
Description: partial 16S rRNA
Source: RNAcentral